Molecule: ribosomal RNA, 451 nt
Filed under: uncultured bacterium
Lineage: Bacteria
Description: bacterial SSU rRNA
Rfam family: Bacterial small subunit ribosomal RNA
Source: RNAcentral
GUCGAGAGGCUUCGGCAAUGGGGGAAACCCUGACCGAGCGACGCCGCGUGGGGGAUGAAGGCCCUUGGGUUGUAAACCCCUUUUGUUCGGGAAGAAAUGCGAUCAGGUGAAUAAUCUGGUCGUUUGACGGUACCGGACGAAUAAGCUCCGGCUAACUCCGUGCCAGCAGCCGCGGUAACACGGGGGGAGCAAGCGUUGUUCGGAAUCACUGGGCGUAAAGGGCGUGUAGGCGGUCAGGUAAGUGAAAUGUGAAAUGCCUCGGCUCACCCGAGGACCGGCAUCUCAUACUGCCUGACUUGAGUACGGGAGAGGAUGUGGGAAUUCCUGGUGUAGCGGUGAAAUGCGUAGAUAUCAGGAGGAACACCGGUGGCGAAGGCGCACAUCUGGCCCGAUACUGACGCUGAGGCGCGAAAGCUAGGGGAGCAAACGGGAUUAGAUACCCGUGUAGUCC